GAUGAACGCUGGCGGCGUGCCUAAUACAUGCAAGUCGAGCGAACAGACGAGGAGCUUGCUCCUCUGACGUUAGCGGCGGACGGGUGAGUAACACGUGGAUAACCUACCUAUAAGACUGGGAUAACUUCGGGAAACCGGAGCUAAUACCGGAUAAUAUAUUGAACCGCAUGGUUCAAUAGUGAAAGACGGUUUUGCUGUCACUUAUAGUUGGAUCCGCGCCGCAUUAGCAAGUUGUUAAGGUAACGGCUUACUAAGGCGACGAUGCGUGGCCGACCUAAGAGGGUGUUCGGCCACCCGGGAACUGAGACACGGUCCAGACUCCUACGGGAGGCAGCAGUAGGGAAUCUUCCGCAAUGGGCGAAAGCCUGACGGAGCAACGCCGCGUGAGUGAUGAAGGUCUUCGGAUCGUAAAACUCUGUUAUUAGGGAAGAACAAAUGUGUAAGUAACUAUGCACGUCUUGACGGUACCUAAUCAGAAAGCCACGGCUAACUACGUG
This 497-nucleotide ribosomal RNA is filed under the name uncultured bacterium. Its description in RNAcentral is "partial 16S ribosomal RNA". It matches the Rfam family "Bacterial small subunit ribosomal RNA", at positions 28 to 507 of the family's 1533-position model. The record is from RNAcentral.